CACAAUCAUCAACAGGCUGAAAUUGAUUUUGAGACACAUUUUCUAACAAUGAAUACUUUCGUUUAUAAGAGAUAGCCACUCACCUUACCCUAGGAGGCACCUUUUCUAGGAACAAAAUCAUGCUGCCCAACCACCAAAAGUGGGGCCCAAGCAAACAAUACCUCUUGUAGGCCAAUGGGAGACUUGGCUAUUCCCUCUAUGAGGAUGAGGCAGACGCUCCAAAAUCACAUCGAUUGGAUGAGCCCCCGCAUCCAUCGAUGCUUUCGUUGAGAGUCAGAUGGAAAAAACCUCGCAACACCGA
This 301-nucleotide long non-coding RNA is filed under the name Elaeis guineensis (African oil palm). Its description in RNAcentral is "long non-coding RNA (EGUI_LNC054367)". Lineage: Eukaryota; Viridiplantae; Streptophyta; Magnoliopsida; Arecales; Arecaceae. The record is from RNAcentral.